Molecule: long non-coding RNA, 772 nt
Organism: Strigops habroptila (Kakapo)
Lineage: Eukaryota; Metazoa; Chordata; Aves; Psittaciformes; Psittacidae
Exons: 3
Source: RefSeq, a predicted model, not a curated record
CAUGGAGCUGCCUAAAUGCAUAGUUUGCUUAUUUGCAGUCUCACUCCUUUGGUUUCGUGUUUUCUAAUUCAGUUAUGGAGAAAACUGCAGUAGUAAGCAGGAAUUUGAUCAUGAGAGUACUGUAGAUGAAUCUUGCAUGUUCACAUUACUGAAUGGUUGUCUUAAAUGAAAAGGAAGCCAGUGCUGUCUGUACUGUAAUAGUUGAAAUGUACUCAACAUAGCUAGUUUCUGCUAAGAAAGGCGAUGACCUUUCUGUUUAUUCACUAAAAUAUAGAACUUAUAGGUUACUAAUAGCCAAUAUCAAAGUACAGUAUUAGUUUGGUGGGUUGUUGAAUAUGCCUGUCCAGGGCUAGAAGCCGUUCUUGAAAAAGUAAAAUCAGAAGAAAAGGUACAAGAGCACUUGCAGUGUGAUUUCUAAGACUCCCAGUUGCAAAAUAAUCCUGAUCUUUCUUUAAGAAGUUCUCUUCAAUUGCUCUGGUUGCACUGCACGUUAGUCUGAGUUUUGCAAUCAGUUUGUGCUGUAAGUUAGAGCCAUUAAUUUUGGUAAUACAUAGAGAAGAUACAAGUAUGUUCAAGAGUUUUGAAUCUCUAAUUAUUGUGGUAUGGGUAAAUACAUGUUUGGAUCUAGGUAGAAAAGUACUUCAGAGAUUUCAAAGUCGAGUGAAUUUUUUUAGAGAUUAUUUAAGCAUUACUUUGUUUACAUGGAACACUUCAUGAAUAAACUGACAUCCAUGAUGACGCUAAAUGUCUUCAAAAUACUUGUUGUACUGUG